RNAcentral lists this ribosomal RNA (1445 nucleotides) under uncultured bacterium. RNAcentral's name for it is "16S ribosomal RNA". It matches the Rfam family "Bacterial small subunit ribosomal RNA". The record is from RNAcentral.
GACGAACGCUGGCGGCGUGCUUAACACAUGCAAGUCGAACGGAAAGGCCCUGCUUUUGUGGGGUGCUCGAGUGGCGAACGGGUGAGUAACACGUGAGUAACCUGCCCUUGACUUUGGGAUAACUUCAGGAAACUGGGGCUAAUACCGGAUAGGAGCUCCUGCUGCAUGGUGGGGGUUGGAAAGUUUCGGCGGUUGGGGAUGGACUCGCGGCUUAUCAGCUUGUUGGUGGGGUAGUGGCUUACCAAGGCUUUGACGGGUAGCCGGCCUGAGAGGGUGACCGGCCACAUUGGGACUGAGAUACGGCCCAGACUCCUACGGGAGGCAGCAGUGGGGAAUAUUGCACAAUGGGCGGAAGCCUGAUGCAGCAACGCCGCGUGCGGGAUGACGGCCUUCGGGUUGUAAACCGCUUUCGCCUGUGACGAAGCGUGAGUGACGGUAAUGGGUAAAGAAGCACCGGCUAACUACGUGCCAGCAGCCGCGGUGAUACGUAGGGGUGCGAGCGUUGUCCGGAUUUAUUGGGCGUAAAGGGCUCGUAGGUGGUUGAUCGCGUCGGAAGUGUAAUCUUGGGGCUUAACCCUGAGCGUGCUUUCGAUACGGGUUGACUUGAGGAAGGUAGGGGAGAAUGGAAUUCCUGGUGGAGCGGUGGAAUGCGCAGAUAUCAGGAGGAACACCAGUGGCGAAGGCGGUUCUCUGGGCCUUUCCUGACGCUGAGGAGCGAAAGCGUGGGGAGCGAACAGGCUUAGAUACCCUGGUAGUCCACGCUGUAAACGGUGGGUACUAGGUGUGGGGUCCAUUCCACGGGUUCCGUGCCGUAGCUAACGCUUUAAGUACCCCGCCUGGGGAGUACGGCCGCAAGGCUAAAACUCAAAGGAAUUGACGGGGCCCCGCACAAGCGGCGGAGCAUGCGGAUUAAUUCGAUGCAACGCGUAGAACCUUACCUGGGUUUGACAUGGAUCGGGAGUGCUCAGAGAUGGGUGUGCCUCUUUUGGGGUCGGUUCACAGGUGGUGCAUGGCUGUCGUCAGCUCGUGUCGUGAGAUGUUGGGUUAAGUCCCGCAACGAGCGCAACCCUUGUUCACUGUUGCCAGCACGUUAUGGUGGGGACUCAGUGGAGACCGCCGGGGUCAACUCGGAGGAAGGUGGGGAUGACGUCAAGUCAUCAUGCCCCUUAUGUCCAGGGCUUCACGCAUGCUACAAUGGCUGGUACAGAGAGUGGCGAGCCUGUGAGGGUGAGCGAAUCUCGGAAAGCCGGUCUCAGUUCGGAUUGGGGUCUGCAACUCGACCUCAUGAAGUCGGAGUCGCUAGUAAUCGCAGAUCAGCAACGCUGCGGUGAAUACGUUCCCGGGGCUUGUACACACCGCCCGUCAAGUCAUGAAAGUUGGUAACACCCGAAGCCGGUGGCCUAACCGUUGUGGGGGAGCCGUCGAAGGUGGGACUGGUGAUUAGG